CGGAAAUGUUUCUUACAAAAGAAAAGAAAUGGGCUACAUCAAAUUAUAAAUCUGUCCCCAAUGCUCUUCUGCUGUGAACCUCAUCUUUAUUACAUGGUUAGUAGUUUUUCUUAACAUUCAUAUAUAGUAAUGUAUAACUAACAAUCCUUGAUUAAUGUACUUUCCUUUUCUUUCUCUUUUAGUAACAAGUGGCUGUUCAGGCAGUGUAUUGCAAAGGAGAGUUGAAGGGGAGUUCUUGCAAAUUCCUACUGUACCAUGUUCUUCGCUGAGCUUGACUGGUACUCAACAUGAUAGGUGGAGAUCUUCGGUAAAAAAGGCAGGCAAUCAGGGAAAAAAAAAGAGAAUCACAUCGAUCAUGGUUGCCAUCUCCAAGGAUGACACUAUACAUACCAGAAGGGCCUGUGUGAUCAAGUCUCUGUGCACCCACUUGAAUGAAGACCCUGAAAAACUAGUGAAGGCAUAUUUGAUUCAGACAGAGUCACAAAGUACCAUGGAGCAAACUGAAGGGAGUGUAUGUUAUACUGAAGGAGGGAGCACUGCCUGAUGAUGACCCACAGGACACUGGUCUCCUAAUUGAAGGUGUGGAAGUCCUCAGUGACUUGAGUCGCAUUGUGCAGGCUUGUUCUCUGUUAUUUGGACUGAUAUGUUGUUUGAACCUGAGCUACUCCCCAGAGCUCAAAUGCACAUGCAGGAGAUCCUUCUAAAUCUAAAUGGACAGAGGUUGCAAUCCAAGGCACAGAUCAACAACAAACUUUGAGAUAAUGACCUUGAAAAAGAAAGAAAAGUUAAACUAAAUGCACUUGGAGUUCCUUAUGUAUAUGGACAACUUUUUUUUGCCACCGUUCCUCCAAACAAGCUACUGGAGCAAUUGAGCUUGAACAGGACUGGUGUACUUCAGGAAGAUGUACAUUUGUAGUUAGAUAGAAACUCUUUUUAGACCACUUAUUUAUUGCAUAGUUACUUUAAACGUGGUGCUGGAGAAAGUGAGUAGAAGCAGUUGUUACACAUUUACAAAUAUUUUCUGGGAGUGAUUUUCUUAGUUUCCGAUGUAAUGCAACAUGGUAAUUUAGAAUUAUCAAAAUAAAAAAAUAAAUUCAUAUUUAAAUUAGAAUGUCUUAUUUAAUUUUUUUUUUUUUUUGUGUGUGUCAGGCCAAAUUGUAAAUGGCUGCCCACUGCUCCGGGUGUGUGUGUGUGUGUGUUCAUGCUGUUUGUUUCACUUUGGAUGGGUUAAAUACAUAGCAUGAAUUCUGAGAAUGGGUCACCAUACUUGACAGUAUGUCAUGUCACUUUACAAAUUCCCCAAAAGGGUGGUGUUAAAAUGGCUUAAUUUAAUUCUUCUUAAAGAAAGGGCGUUAAAGGUUAAAAGUAUUGUUUGGGGAUCUGUUUUUGCUAAGAGCCUUUUCAAGAUUCUGUUGGCUAAAUGUUUCCUAUACAUUGUGUUACAAACACUCAAAUGAAUAGGAGACUUAAAGUGACUAAAGCGGUUUAAACUUUAUUGGUGCAUGUUAAAGCCUAAUAAAAUAUAUAUAUAUAUAUAUAUAUAUAUAUAUAUAUAUAUAUAUAUAUAUAUAUAUUGUUAGCAUUUUUGUGUGCGUUUUUGUUGUUUUUGUAUAUUACUGAAUUUUUGGUAUUGUUUUGCUGCUUAGCGCUGUCUUCUAAAACAAAUCUAAUUGAAACAACAAGAUAGAUUUUCAUUAAACCUACCAAAACAAGACAUGAACUAGUUGAUGUAACAAGGCAGAAUUUUGUUGAAUUGAAGUGCUUUACUGACAUGGAAUGAAUAAGAGUAAAUUUGAUUAGACUAACACAAUACACACAUUUUGAUUCAAUUAGUUGCAAAGAAGUUAAAUUGACAUAUCCCAAACAUGUUUAAUCUACAAAUGUAUAUUGUGUUCAUAUAACUCAAUCAAAGCAGUCCAAGUUUACUUGAUUUGGUUAGAUGCAUAAUGGGUGCUACGAUUAAAUCACGUUCAUUCAACAAAAAAAAUUUUUGAGUGUAUUUAACCUUAUGUGUCAAUGGAGGGCAGAGCAACAGUAGAUUUGCUCUUAGUAAUAGACAUAGUCUUG
This is a long non-coding RNA of Carassius auratus (goldfish), 2067 nucleotides long. Lineage: Eukaryota; Metazoa; Chordata; Actinopteri; Cypriniformes; Cyprinidae. The record is from Ensembl.